Salvelinus fontinalis (brook trout) is the source of this 1382-nucleotide long non-coding RNA. RefSeq lists it as uncharacterized. The transcript is spliced from 5 exons. NCBI's taxonomy places the organism in Eukaryota, Metazoa, Chordata, Actinopteri, Salmoniformes, Salmonidae. The record is from RefSeq and is a predicted model, not a curated record.
CACACACACACACACACACACACACACACACACACACACACACACACACACACACACACACACACACACACACACACACACACACACACCUGUGAUAAUUAGCUAGAUAAUGAAAUGACAUUGCUGACGGAGUACUCGUGGAGUUGAGACAAACAUCAUGAUAAUAUUGUACUACUGCAUAAACCUUCUGUCUGUCUGUCUGUCUGUCUGUCUGUCUGUCUGUCUGUCUGUCUGUCUGUCUGUCUGUGUCUGUGUAACAAGGCUAUUAGCAGCUCCAACCCAGCAUCCAAACACACUAACAGGAGGAGUGAGGGUAUUUAUAAUGUCACAGUCCUGACCAGGAUAGAUGGACACAGCCAGGACCUGCACUGCCAAGUCUAGUGACUGUGUUUAUAUAUCACAGCUCCUCGUCAGACCUGGCCUCCUUAUCCUUGUAAUUUUAAGCAAGCAGCUCCGGGUACAAGAAUGCUAGGAGGAGAAAGACAACACAUUGUGCUGUGUUUCAAGGAUGCAGAUCUAAUGAAGAGAAUCUCCUGCGUUAACACGUACCAACACACACAAUAGAAACCAUGGAAACUACUGAACCUGCUGCGUUAUCUCUGGAGUCACGACACAUUCACAAAUGCAUUCACACACCUUUGGUAUUUGGCUGGAUACAAGGAAGGAUCUGCAUACUACAUGUUCUUACCUUUGUGUUUCUGUCAUACAGCGGCCUUUAUUACAUGACUGAGGAGGACCAGGCCAACUGAUAUAAGAAGAAUACACUGCCAAGGAAUGUCGAGUCACAUGCAGCAGAAAAGAAGGGAGGAGAGAGUAUAUUGAAAAAUAGUUGAUGGUUGCCACAGUCAGAGUGACUGUAGCUUUCGGGCUGGCGGGUGAGGAUUCACAUUUGUUCCCAAUAAGAGGACGUCACUGCUCUCUGCAAAUUUGGGGCAGUUAUGCUUGAGGUCAUGGUGGGCUGUGAGGGGACAAGGAACGGGUUGUUGUGGGGACAUUCAUGCCUACAACAAUACGCCAUGGUUGUGUUCAGCAGGCAUGACAUGGGAAAUAAUUUUAAACGGAAUGAGGUACUUCUCCGUUUCCUGCUUUUUGAAAGGGACACCGUGCUCUCUGUUUCCCUUUCUCCCUGCAGCAAGACAGAAUCUCUCCAAGGUACAAUAGGUAAACCCCUGCUAUAAGGAACCCUAGCAGCUGCCUAAAGUGAAUGGGAACGUCCUAGAGAGAAAACCUUCACUGGUUUAAAGAAGGGAUUCUCCCAUCUGAGCCUGGAGAUACGAUCAUCCUCAAGUGUGUGUGCCAGACUGCCAGGACAUCUUGUGAGGUCACAGGUCAAAAGAUCCAAAUCAGUCAGGUUUCAAGACUAGUCAUUCAACUGAGACUGC